Triticum urartu is the source of this 2320-nucleotide non-coding RNA. Lineage: Eukaryota; Viridiplantae; Streptophyta; Magnoliopsida; Poales; Poaceae. The record is from RefSeq and is a predicted model, not a curated record.
UCCGGCAGCCUUACACCCCCGAUCCCAUCCGCCACCGACCACCCUUCGCCGCUCCCGACCUCAGCGGCAGUCGAUAACCCUCCGCCGUCCCCGACCAUAGCCACACCCUUCACCGUCCCCGACCACCCUCCACUGUCCCCAAACCCCUACCGCACCCGGCUUCCUUCCCGACCACCGCGGCGGGCUAGGGUUUGACGCCGCUGGCCCUCCUGGUCGUCCUCCAGUUGAUCUCUAGAGGAAACGGCUUCCAUCCUCCUUCCAAAGCCUGUGAGCACGGAUCUGGCUCCUCCCACCGUUCCUUCCCCUCUCCUGCUUGGAGCCGCCUGUGACCACGGAUCUAACUCUCCUCCACCAGCGGCUUCUGGGAUGGCGCGGAUCCACCUCUUCUCCACAAGCGCCGGCCGAGACGAUGUGGAUUCGCAUCUCCUCCUCCCUCCCUGCCAUGGCCGCCUUUAUCCAUUGCGCCCCCGCCUUGCAGCUCAGCUUCUGGAAGGAGAUUUGGAGGAGUACCUGCUGCUCACGGUGGCUUCAAGCCUUCUUCCCAACUAGCCCCAGAGGCACAACGUUAAGGGUGCAAGCUCGACUGAUUCAAUGGUCUGCCUUGGCGUGAUGGCUCCCCGUCAACAACCAGGUUGACCAUGGUCUAUGCUAGCUUGUAGGCCCUUAUCUUGUGCACCUAAUUGAUGUGGCUCUCUUCAUUGAAUGAAUUAUGUUGAUCUCGUAACUAUUUUUAAUCUAAUGAUAAGAUCCGAUUUAUGCAAAUCUUCUAUAUACAGUGUUUAGGUAGUAGGUAUUAUCUUAUUGGUUUACAAUACUGGUUCUGUUCCUGGGAAAAAGUAUUGCUUGAAUUGUAUCUUGAUCAUCAGAUCAGAUUCAUGAAUUACUAGAUGUUUCAUGUGAGCUGUCUGGGUCCGAAGUCCCUUUGUUCACAUAGUACAUUUUUGUUUCUGUAUGUGGAUAUUUAUUUAUUCUAUGAAUAUAAGUGUUGCAAACUUCUGUGAAGUCUGAUAAAAAUAGAACAAUGCAGCAGUUUCUUACCCUGUUCCAGUCUGCUGGAAGUGUCUUUGCUGCCUCUCCAAGAUGCUGGAAGGUCACCUCCAUCGAUGCUCUGUCAGCCGCUUCCACAAGCCGCCAGACUUAAGGAUGUAGAAUUACAUUUAUGGAAGGUUCAUAUUCAAUUUACUAAAAACAUGAAGCAUUGAUCUCCUUUUAAAUAUGUUUGACUAGUAAAUGGUAUUUCUAUGUAGCAGAUGUGUGCGCAAGAAAGAUAAUACAGGAUAUCACCCACUUUCAUGCCUUGGCUCAAUAAAGCGACAUUAGUGAAAAAUAAAAACUGACAACUAUACUUACGGGUAGACUGGUACCUAGCGCAAGUAUAGGGUAUUGUAGACUGGUGCAAGAAGAAAUUAAAACCAUUCCAAACAGAUCAUUUAUGGUUUUUUGUUGGAUGUCUGCAUUCUAGCUAAAGAUGACCUUGAAGUUAAUUGUCCUCCAUCUUGCUGUGAUAUUCAACUUUCUCUGUUUUAUUUCAACUCUUCUAUUUUUCCUGUAGUAAUGAACGUCAUGUGAUAAGUGGUAGUACUAUGUCAGAGUGAUGUUGCUCUGCUUUGUACCAACUUAGAAUUCAUGUUUUAGACUAACCUAAAAUUUCAGCUCCGCAUUAUAACUUAGGUCUUGAAAGGUUCGACAAGAUCUUGAAGGUGUUGGAGGUUGGGCAAGAUCCGCAAGGCGUCCAUACUAGUUUUUUCUGCUAAAUUUGGAAAAAGAAUGGAAAAGGAAGAGAAGAAGACAAUGCUGAAGCACAAGAGCAACAGAGGCUAUACUUAAAGCAAGGAACAAUUAGGAUUUUUAACGAUUUGGGUCAUUUACAUUUUCAAAUCUAAAAUAAGAUUUUGGAGGCCGAGCAAGUCAGCGACAAAAUAAAAGGAAGAAGGUUUCUCAAAGAUGAACAAGUUGAUGGAGGUUUGGAAGAUCUACAGGCUGACGAAGAUUAUGAACGCCUACAAUUAAGUCGGUGUAGUGAUAAUGGAAUAUGCCUUGUUUGUUGAACAUGGAGAUUUGCUCUGCUCAUGUUGGUGGUUGUUAAGUCAAUGUAUGCUCAUGUUGGUUGUGUGGUGCAUCAAGAAAUAAAUGUGUUUCUCCCUUUUUGGCACAACUUCAGCUUGGUUGUCUGGCACAUCUAAAAACAGAUGUAUGCACUUCUUUUGUGGCACAAUGUCUUUGUAUAUGAUUGUAUGAUUAUUUAAUGAAGUUCAAGAUUUUUGACUAGACCUUUAUGUAACUUCAUUUGAGAUGUAUAUAUAAAUCGCAUGAUAUGUCC